This 64-nucleotide transfer RNA is filed under the name Psilodens balduri. RNAcentral describes it as "tRNA-Leu". Lineage: Eukaryota; Metazoa; Mollusca; Caudofoveata; Limifossorida; Limifossoridae. The record is from RNAcentral.
GUUAAGGUGGCAGAGUAGUGCACUAAAUUUAAGUUUUAGGAAAGAACAUAAAGUUUUCUUAACU